This 331-nucleotide ribosomal RNA is filed under the name uncultured eukaryote. RNAcentral's name for it is "partial 18S ribosomal RNA". It matches the Rfam family "Eukaryotic small subunit ribosomal RNA", at positions 1470 to 1796 of the family's 1831-position model. The record is from RNAcentral.
CCCUUAGAUGUUCUGGGCCGCACGCGCGCUACACUGACGAAGUCAGCGAGCAUGUCCUACGCCGACAGGUGCGGGGAAUCUUGUCAAACUUCGUCGUGAUGGGGAUUGAUUAUUGAAAUUCUUGAUCAUCAACGAGGAAUUCCUAGUAAGCGCAAGUCAGCAGCUUGCGUUGAUUACGUCCCUGCCCUUUGUACACACCGCCCGUCACUACUACCGAUUGAAUGGUUUAGUGAGAUCUUCGGAUUGGCGCCACUGCGGCUCAGCAAUGGGCUCGGUGGAUGCCGAAAAGUUGAUCAAACUUGAUCAUUUAGAGGAAGUAAAAGUCGUAACA